Molecule: ribosomal RNA, 426 nt
Filed under: uncultured Actinomycetes bacterium
Lineage: Bacteria; Bacillati; Actinomycetota; Actinomycetes
Description: bacterial SSU rRNA
Rfam family: Bacterial small subunit ribosomal RNA
Source: RNAcentral
GCGGCCUAUCAGCUUGUUGGUGAGGUAAUGGCUCACCAAGGCGACGACGGGUAGCCGGCCUGAGAGGGCGACCGGCCACACUGGGACUGAGACACGGCCCAGACUCCUACGGGAGGCAGCAGUGGGGAAUAUUGGGCAAUGGAGGAAACUCUGACCCAGCGACGCCGCGUGCGGGAUGAAGGCCUUCGGGUUGUAAACCGCUUUCAGCAAGGAAGAAGCGAAAGUGACGGUACUUGCAGAAGAAGCACCGGCUAACUAUGUGCCAGCAGCCGCGGUAAUACAUAGGGUGCAAGCGUUGUCCGGAAUUAUUGGGCGUAAAGAGCUCGUAGGUGGUUCGUCACGUCGGAUGUGAAAAUCUGGGGCUUAACCCCAGACCUGCAUUCGAUACGGGCGAGCUAGAGUGUGGUAGGGGAGACUGGAAUUCCU